Molecule: long non-coding RNA, 495 nt
Organism: Erpetoichthys calabaricus (reedfish)
Lineage: Eukaryota; Metazoa; Chordata; Cladistia; Polypteriformes; Polypteridae
Exons: 2
Source: RefSeq, a predicted model, not a curated record
UGUAUAUGCAUUUAUCUUUUUUUUUUCAUGGCUCCGAAAUCCGUACUAACCCCUAUUUUCUCUUUUGUUCUUUUUCCAGUUUUCUGUGGUGGCGAUCUGCACCAACACCACCUGAUCAAAGCAUCAUGCACUCCCUGCAUCGAUGGAUUGAAGGCCAGAUGUCCACAUGACCAUCAUCAUCUAAUUUUUCCACGUGAAGCCUGAAAACCAUGAGGACUGAUUGAGAUCAUUGAUGUUAGGUAGAAUGCCCAGAGGGGACUGGGUGGUCUCGUGGCCUGGAACCCCUACAGAUUUUAUUUUUUUCUCCAGCUUUCUGGAUUUUUUUUUUUUGUUUUUUCUGUCCUCCCUGGCCAUCGGACCUUACUCCUUUUCUAUGUUAACUAACGUUGUCUUAUUUUAAUUUCUUAUUUUGUCUUUUAUUUUUCUUUUCUUCAUUAUGUAAAGCACUUUGAGCUACUUUUUGUAUGAAAAUGUGCUAUAUAAAUAAAUGUUGUU